UACGUAGGGUGCAAGCGUUGUCCGGAAUUAUUGGGCGUAAAGAGCUCGUAGGCGGUUUGUUGCGUCGGCUGUGAAAUCCCGAGGCUCAACCUCGGGUCUGCAGUGGGUACGGGCAGACUGGAGUGCGGUAGGGGAGAAUGGAAUUCCUGGUGUAGCGGUGGAAUGCGCAGAUAUCAGGAGGAACACCGAUGGCGAAGGCAGGUCUCUGGGCCGAUACUGACGCUGAGGCACGAAAGCGUGGGGAGCAAACAGG
This 253-nucleotide ribosomal RNA is filed under the name uncultured bacterium. RNAcentral's name for it is "partial 16S ribosomal RNA". It matches the Rfam family "Bacterial small subunit ribosomal RNA", at positions 524 to 776 of the family's 1533-position model. The record is from RNAcentral.